GCACUGCUGACGAAUGCCAAACAGGACGAAACAGCUGUCCAUUGC
Molecule: non-coding RNA, 45 nt
Filed under: Echinostoma caproni
Lineage: Eukaryota; Metazoa; Platyhelminthes; Trematoda; Plagiorchiida; Echinostomatidae
Source: RNAcentral